CUUCAACGAACCCAACCACAACGGCCGGCCCUCCGACCGCUCCUGACCGUAGGUGGCGAUCAGCGCCUGCGCCUC
Streptomyces griseofuscus is the source of this 75-nucleotide non-coding RNA. NCBI's taxonomy places the organism in Bacteria, Bacillati, Actinomycetota, Actinomycetes, Kitasatosporales, Streptomycetaceae. The record is from Rfam.